AGGAGACAAAGGAAGAAGCCUUUUAUCCCCCUCCCUCCUCUCUCCCUCUCUCUCUCUCUCCUCCUCCCAUCACUUGGUGGGAAUGUCAGUCCACACCCCGCACCUGCUCCUUCCUACCACUGUCGAGGAAUCAUCCAAACAAAUCCCAUUUCAUGUGGUGUGUGGUCCACCACCUCACCACCCCCAUACCUCUUUCUUUCCCCAGGC
RNAcentral lists this long non-coding RNA (207 nucleotides) under Elaeis guineensis (African oil palm). RNAcentral's name for it is "long non-coding RNA (EGUI_LNC031563)". Lineage: Eukaryota; Viridiplantae; Streptophyta; Magnoliopsida; Arecales; Arecaceae. The record is from RNAcentral.